This 230-nucleotide ribosomal RNA is filed under the name uncultured bacterium. RNAcentral describes it as "partial 16S ribosomal RNA". It matches the Rfam family "Bacterial small subunit ribosomal RNA", at positions 561 to 791 of the family's 1533-position model. The record is from RNAcentral.
UAAAGCGUGCGCAGGCGGUUUUGUAAGACUGCGUGAAAUCCCCGGGCUCAACCUGGGAAUGGCGAUGGUGACUGCAAGGCUAGAGUUUGGCAGAGGGGGGUAGAAUUCCACGUGUAGCAGUGAAAUGCGUAGAUAUGUGGAGGAACACCGAUGGCGAAGGCAGCCCCCUGGGUCAAAACUGACGCUCAUGCACGAAAGCGUGGGGAGCAAACAGGAUUAGAUACCCUUGU